CGGGACGGGUGAGUAACGCGUGGGUAACCUGCCUUGUACAGGGGGAUAACAGUUGGAAACGGCUGCUAAUACCGCAUAAGCGCACAGCAUCGCAUGAUGCAGUGUGAAAAACUCCGGUGGUAUAAGAUGGACCCGCGUUGGAUUAGCUAGUUGGUGAGGUAACGGCCCACCAAGGCAACGAUCCAUAGCCGACCUGAGAGGGUGACCGGCCACAUUGGGACUGAGACACGGCCCAA
Molecule: ribosomal RNA, 236 nt
Filed under: uncultured bacterium
Lineage: Bacteria
Description: partial 16S ribosomal RNA
Rfam family: Bacterial small subunit ribosomal RNA
Source: RNAcentral